Molecule: ribosomal RNA, 253 nt
Filed under: uncultured bacterium
Lineage: Bacteria
Description: partial 16S ribosomal RNA
Rfam family: Bacterial small subunit ribosomal RNA
Source: RNAcentral
UACAGAGGUCUCGAGCGUUAGGCGGAAUCACUGGGCUUAAAGCGUGUGUAGGCGGAUCGUUAAGUGCCUUGUGAAAUCCCACGGCUCAACCGUGGAACUGCUUGGCAUACUGGCGGUCUUGAGCAACCUAGGGGCGGGCGGAACAAAUGGUGGAGCGGUGAAAUGCGUAGAUAUCAUUUGGAACGCCAAUGGUGAAAACAGCUCGCUGGGGGUUUGCUGACGCUGAGACACGAAAGCCAGGGGAGCAAACGGG